CGCGUAGGCGGCUUUUCAAGUCAGAUGUGAAAGUCCGCGGCUCAACCGUGGAAGUGCAUUUGAAACUGUGAGGCUUGAGUACUGGAGGGGGUAGUGGAAUUCCCGGUGUAGAGGUGAAAUUCGUAGAUAUCGGGAGGAAUACCGGUGGCGAAGGCGACUGCCUGGCCAGAUACUGACGCUGAGGUGCGAAAGCGUGGGGAGCAAACA
RNAcentral lists this ribosomal RNA (207 nucleotides) under uncultured bacterium. RNAcentral's name for it is "partial 16S ribosomal RNA". It matches the Rfam family "Bacterial small subunit ribosomal RNA", at positions 568 to 774 of the family's 1533-position model. The record is from RNAcentral.